UGCUCCAUCUCGCUCUUGGGAGUGUGGAGCCAGACGUGGGCCCUCAUUAUUUCCCGGCUCCAUCUCUCUGCCUCCUCCCCCAGGGUCUCUUCCAUUCCUCCUCCUGCUCCUGGCUCUCUCCAGUUCUGAACCUAGUGUACAUGUGCUUCUUGCUGAAGGUGAUGAGGAGGCUGGGGAGAGAACCCAUUAAAAUCCAGACGUUUUGCCUGCACAAUCUUAAACACCUGGACCUGGGGAAGCAGAGAAACAGGCUGAUUUUCCAGCAUAUCCAGAUAUUUCUCAUCCUGUGAGCACCCCCCCUUCUCCGUCCUCCGGAAAAUCCAUUUGUCCAGAGGACGUGCACUCUGCCCGCGAACGCAGCCCGCGCCUCCGUUCUCUCCCGACUUCUGCUCAGAUCCGGCUGAGCACAUCCACACAAAAGGGACAAGAGCUCUGCUUCUGUGGAACCAGCUCGGCACAGACCUUCUUCCCACGGGAUUGCCUGGGGUUGCCUAGCAAUCUGACACCACCCUGCCGCAGCAGACCCACGGCCAUCCCUGCCCUCUGAAGGAGGCUGUGUUGUCAUGUGGCGUGGACCUCGGACCCUGCAGGGCCAUGCGCCCACUUGCAGCAUUCGAGGCUACGCCCACAUCCUGAGCUGCUGGUGAGACGCCCUGGGCCUCAGUCUUCUGUGACUUCAGGGGCUGCCCAACAUGACCUCUGAAGUUGCUCCCGGCCAUGGUGACUUCUGAGAGAAUCCACAGUCUGGAUGGCCGUGCAGAGGAGGAGAAGGGAGAGGGGCAAGAUGCUGCUCUGUCUGGGGAGCCUGCAGAUCUCACGUGCCCUCCACAGCGAUUCAGCGCUCCCCAGUGUCCCUCAGGGCUUAGACGGCAGCCCAGGAAGGAGGCCCUGUGAGCAGGACAGCAGUCAGCCAGCCUGGACGGUGGCGGGGAAACACCAAGGUGUGCGUGGCAGCUCACCAGAGCCACCCUCCUGUUUGCCAGAGUAGACCAAGUCGCUUCAGAGGGCUGAAGCCAGUGUCUGCAGGUCAUGCCAGUGGCGCUGUACAGAGAGAGGAGUGGGAAGUCCAAACAAUCUGGCCCAAGUGCAGAGAAGAACCUGGAAGAGUUUCUUUUGUUGUCCAAAGGGCAGAAGGCAUUCCACCGAUGACCGCUCUCAUCUGGACAGCGGCCCCCUGCCAUCCCUCUGUCCCAUCCCUUGGACCUACCCUCUCUCUUGCUGGACCACUGCUUCAGCUAGUCCUAUUGCCUGGUUUCAUGCUUUCCUCCCUUGUUUUGUUGGAGCACAUCCUGUAGUAAAUGAAAAAUGGUGUGUGGGAAAUCAUUCUUUAGGGACCUCACUGGUGCAAAUGUCUUCAUUGUAGUCUCCUGUUGGACGGCAUCUUUGGUGAAGUAGGGCCAGAAAUCAUUAUCUGCCAGCACACUGAAGGCACCCCUUCCCUGUCAUGAGCUUGGCUUGCUGAGAAUUCAGGCACGGUUCUCAUUCCUGGAAACCUGGGGAACUCUUUGGUUUCUCAUGAUACUAGGUGGGUUAGUUUCCAACCCUUGUGGGGAGAAUUUGAAAACUCAUUUCCUGGAAGAUUUCUUGAAUUAAGUGAUUUGUGAUUCCCUCUUCUCUUUGCUUGCGCUCUCUCUGCAGGGAGGAGUCCUCUGUGGGGCUGCUCUGUCAACAGGUCACCCACCUUCCCUCCUUUCUCAGCCCUCCCCUCUCUCUUUCCCUGCCUUCUGGGACUCUCUCCUGCUUUGGUCUGUUGAGGUUUUGGCGUUUGUUUGUUGCGGUCCUCAUGCUUUAGUUUCCCAGCCCUUUCGGUUCUCUAAAUGUUCUCCUUACAAUAGCUUCUGCUCUUGGUUCUGGGGUGCACUAUCUCCUCGGAUCUCUUUGAGGAUCAGGCUGUCCUGGAGCUCUGGCUGCUCCCCUUUAAGAAGGGGCCGCAAAGCUGCCACAGCUCUGAGCCUGGGUGAGGCUUGUGCCCUGGAGGUUCCCUCUUGGGGACACUGGCUGGGACCCUGAAUGGGAAGCAGCACAACGAUGUCUCCUUAGGUUUCUCCUUUUGGUACUGAUCAGAUUCCCCAGAGGAGACUCUUCCGGCCUCCGAGCUGGGUGGAGGGCAAAGGUCAAGAUGCCAUGCUAGGGGGGGUCUGAGCGGGUUUCCAUGCAGGACGCCUUUCCUUCCUCUGCGUCAGGUCCCCAGGGCCACCCAGUCAUCUCUGGGCUUCCACCUCCCCUCCCUGCCCAGGUCUCUGGUUCUGCGGCUUCUGAGCCUUCGAAGCCCUGCUGGCCGGCCUGGCCCACCGAGGGUCAGCUCCAGCUGGACUGCCAGGCCACCCCUCCGCAGGCUUCCUGAGCCCACAGUGCGUUGCUGGUGCCCUUUCUCCUGCUCUCAGGCCUGUGGGGGUUUACACCUUAACAAAACAGAACAAAAGGGAAGACCAACAUUCCCUUUUGUAGUGUUAGUGGUUUUCAGAGGAGCCCUGCGUUUGGGGGCAUUUCCGACCCGUCGGAACCUCCCUCUGUUUCUUUCCUCCUUGUUAUUACAAAGGACUGUCCUCAGCUCUUCCCCACGCACUCGCACUCGCUUUAAAAAUAAAGUUGCCAAAUGAGAGGUUUCAAAAGUCUGGGACGACACUCUCAUGGAAGGACUCCUGAUUGGUCCCCGUUUGAAGACACACAGACCAUCCCUGACCCUCUUUUAUGGCAGGUCCCCAUGGAUGGUGUUGGGUCUGAACGGAAAAAUCCCUGGGGCCUGUCCCCAAGGGGCAUCAUCCUGAUGGGCAGAUGCCAGCUUCAGUUUGCCACCCGGGGUCUGGGUGGGAAGUGAGCUGAGCCCUGAGCUGGGGCGGCUGG
This is a long non-coding RNA of Marmota monax (woodchuck), 2844 nucleotides long. RefSeq lists it as uncharacterized. NCBI's taxonomy places the organism in Eukaryota, Metazoa, Chordata, Mammalia, Rodentia, Sciuridae. The transcript has 5 exons. The record is from RefSeq and is a predicted model, not a curated record.